RNAcentral lists this ribosomal RNA (446 nucleotides) under uncultured bacterium. Its description in RNAcentral is "partial 16S ribosomal RNA". It matches the Rfam family "Bacterial small subunit ribosomal RNA", at positions 338 to 795 of the family's 1533-position model. The record is from RNAcentral.
CCUACGGGAGGCAGCAGUCGAGAAUCAUUCACAAUGGGGGAAACCCUGAUGGUGCGACGCCGCGUGGGGGAAUGAAGGUCUUCGGAUUGUAAACCCCUGUCAUGUGGGAGCAAAUUAAAAAGAUAGUACCACAAGAGAAAGAGACGGCUAACUCUGUACCAGCAGCCGAGGUAAUACAGAGGUCUCAAGCGUUGUUUGGAAGCACUGGGCGUAAAGCGUGCGUAGGCUGUUUCAUAAGUCGUGUGUGAAAGGCGCGGGCUCAACCCGCGGACGGAACAUGAUACUGCGAGACUAGAGUAAUGGAGGGGGAACCGGAAUUCUUGGUGUAGCAGUGAAAUGCGUAGAUAUCGAGAGGAACACUCGUGGCGAAGGCGGGUUCCUGGACAUUAACUGACGCUGAGGCACGAAGGCCAGGGGAGCGAAAGGGAUUAGAUACCCUUGUAGUC